CGCAUGAAUCCAUCUUUUUCUGUGAGAAAGCCGCUUCGCAUUCGUCAAGAAUCUUCGAGAAAAAGAUGGAAAAUCCAGUGAAGAUAUUGGUAAGAAGGCAGUUUGUGGCGGGAAGUUUUGGUUCGGGGUAGGAAUAAUGAAAUGAAGAGAAGAAAAUCGAGAGCAAGAAGGUGAUGGCGAGGUGGACAUGGUAUCGGGUUGGGUGGACACUGGCAUGCUGCUCUGCUUCCCGAUUAAUUUUUUUAAAAAGAAAAUGUUAAAAAAAACGAAAAAUUGUUUUAAAAAUAAAUAUCAUUUUUAUUUUUAUUUUUUGAAAAUAGAAAGACAAAACCCAAGACCAAAACCUUGAGAAGAGUUGAAGCUCAAAGCAGUGAGUAAUGAGAGCUCUUUCACUCUAUCAGAGAAUUUCUUCGCGAUGGAGGACGAUGCCCUACGCUUCUGUCCAUUCCGAAUUCUUCUGUACGGACGGCGGCGCCGGCGACGGACUUUCGAGUCCUAAUGCUUCAAGGAUAAUGAUCUUUGACCGUGACUUCAAACGCAAACAACGUGACCGAGCUGCUUGGGUUGUGGCGCCAAAAUGAUUGUUUUAUAGAUUCUGUAGCUGAAAAUCUCGUAGAUCGCCUGGAGGACUGUAGGAAAGUAUUUCCAUCAGCAUUAUUUUUGGGAGGUUCUUUGGAAGCUGUCAGACGAUUGUCACGUGAUCAUGGUGGCAUCAAAAAGCUAACUAUGAUGGAUAUGUCACAUGACAUGGUGAAAUUGUGUAAAGAUGCUGAGCAAGAUAUGGAUGACAAAUCUGUUGAAACAUCCUUUAUGGUUGGAGAUGAAGAAUUUUUGCCUGUCGAGGAAAGUUGACCUGAUAAUCAGUUGCUUGGGACUCCACUGGACAAAUGACUUCCUGGGGCCAUGAUACAGGUACGCGCUUCUCUGUCUUACUGUAU
Molecule: non-coding RNA, 938 nt
Organism: Carica papaya (papaya)
Lineage: Eukaryota; Viridiplantae; Streptophyta; Magnoliopsida; Brassicales; Caricaceae
Source: RefSeq, a predicted model, not a curated record